UACGUAGGUUGCAAGCGUUGUCCGGAUUUACUGGGCGUAAAGAGCGCGCAGGCGGUCGUUCAAGUCGCGUGUGAAAGCCCCCGGCUCAACUGGGGAGGGUCACGCGAUACUGAUCGACUCGAAGGCAGGAGAGGGUAGUGGAAUUCCCGGUGUAGUGGUGAAAUGCGUAGAUAUCGGGAGGAACACCAGUGGCGAAGGCGACUACCUGGCCUGUUCUUGACGCUGAGGCGCGAAAGCUAGGGGAGCAAACGGG
Molecule: ribosomal RNA, 253 nt
Filed under: uncultured bacterium
Lineage: Bacteria
Description: partial 16S ribosomal RNA
Rfam family: Bacterial small subunit ribosomal RNA
Source: RNAcentral